This 61-nucleotide transfer RNA is filed under the name bovine gut metagenome. It matches the Rfam family "tRNA", at positions 3 to 60 of the family's 71-position model. From Rfam's summary of the family: Transfer RNA (tRNA) molecules are approximately 80 nucleotides in length. Their secondary structure includes four short double-helical elements and three loops (D, anti-codon, and T loops). Further hydrogen bonds mediate the characteristic L-shaped molecular structure. tRNAs have two regions of fundamental functional importance: the anti-codon, which is responsible for specific mRNA codon recognition, and the 3' end, to which the tRNAs corresponding amino acid is attached (by aminoacyl-tRNA synthetases). tRNAs cope with the degeneracy of the genetic code in two manners: having more than one tRNA (with a specific anti-codon) for a particular amino acid; and 'wobble' base-pairing, i.e. permitting non-standard base-pairing at the 3rd anti-codon position. The record is from RNAcentral.
GGGUAUAGCUCAGUUGGUUAGAGCGCUUGCUUGACAUGCAAGAGGUCGGUGGUUCGAGUCC